RNAcentral lists this small RNA (133 nucleotides) under Escherichia coli. RNAcentral describes it as "RtT sRNA". It matches the Rfam family "RtT RNA". From Rfam's summary of the family: This family represents a bacterial cis-regulatory element known as RtT RNA. Lineage: Bacteria; Pseudomonadati; Pseudomonadota; Gammaproteobacteria; Enterobacterales; Enterobacteriaceae. The record is from RNAcentral.
AUUCUGCCCAUGCGGGGAAGGAUGAGAGGCUUCGACCAAGGUUCGACUCGAGUGCCAGCGAGAGGCGUUGCCGCAGGCAACGACCCGUAGGGACGAAGCGCAGCCCCAUGAGUAAUCCUUCCCCCCACCACCA